This 17464-nucleotide long non-coding RNA is filed under the name Eucalyptus grandis. Its description in RNAcentral is "long non-coding RNA (EGRA_LNC006038)". The stretch from base 13480 to 13786 matches the Rfam family "Plant signal recognition particle RNA". Lineage: Eukaryota; Viridiplantae; Streptophyta; Magnoliopsida; Myrtales; Myrtaceae. The record is from RNAcentral.
CAGUAGCGAGAGCUUGUGACCCGAGCGGGGGCAUCAAGGUGGUGGGACGUGGGCUCGAAUCCAUUGGGCCGGGUCUGCAGAGGCUUCUUUCUGGCCCGCCCGUUCCAAGCCGAGAGCUGAUUCAUGUGGUUCGGGCGAAGGCUCGGGCCACGUGUGUCCUAAAGUGGAGGGCACCACGUGAGGCUGGUUUCACAGAGCAGCGAAAACCUCCCGCUCCCGGCAGUGGAAGGAUAACGGGCCGGUGCUGAUCAGUACCCACCAUGGCCCAAUGGGCUGAGUCCUACUGGACCAUCACCUUUUUUCUUUUUCGUUUUCUUGGACCGACUUUGUGAAUCUUCUUCAAGUUGCAUGACUCGAAUUUUAUAUUUAAAUUGCCUUCGUAAAUCUCGGUUCUUUGUUCAACAUGAUUUUUUUUUUAAAAUUAAAACUGAUUUAUGACAUUGGCGUAUUAUAUAGAGAGGUGUAAGCUAAAUUUUAAAAAAAUGACCUUACCUUUACAUGAACACAUGGCGAAGAUUGGUUCUUUUCCAUGAUGCCAUCUACUAGUACAGCUAAGGAAGAAUCAACUGAACUAUUGCUGAUAAGAAUUGAAUUCGUGAUUUUAUUCAUGAUGGGAUUUGUUGUGUACAUUACACAGUGAGAAUGAAGUAUAUAGUCAAUGCAAAUUUCAAUGGGACCUUUUGUAUAGCUUCUAGAUCGCUCAUUAUAAUUCAAAGCCGAAAAUCCAUGGUGCAACAUUUUUCAUAAAUGAUGUUUACAUGAAACGUGAUUAAAUAAUAGACCCAUCAAAUGGGUGGGUUUGGUUGAAAAUAAUCUGAUCCAAAUUGACCUAUUUAUCAGUGAUACAAUUGCAGAGACUUGGAAUCGACCUAACUUAAACUUUGACCCAACCCAGGCUCCAUUCUUAGCAAUUUUUCUAAUUAAAUUGUUAAUUUGAAGUAGACACAUCAAACGUGUGGGUCGGGUUGGGUUGAAAAUGAUCCAACUCAUAUUGAUUCAUAUUUAUGUAGUGUAGAUUUAGUGAUUCAUACCCGAUCGACCCGUAUCUAAAUUGACUUGUAUUAUUAAAACCCAUUAAUAUUCUAAAAAAACACACACCCACUUUAAGCUCUAUGCUAAUUAGAUAAAACAUUCAAAUAAAACAAUUAAAUAAAAUAAAAAAUAUAAAAAACCUAUAAAUUGAAAUAUUUAAUAAAAAAUCCAUGGUGCAACAUUUUUCAUAAAUGAUGUUUACAUGAAACGUGAUUAAAUAAUAGACCCAUCAAAAUGGGUGGGUUUGGUUGAAAAUAAUCUGAUCUAAAUUGACCUAUUUAUCAGUGAUACAAUUGCAGAGACUUGGAAUCGACUUUGUCGCGACCAAUUUUUUCGGGGUAUGAACCACCUAGGGUUUUGCUAAUGGAUUGUUAAGCCUAGACUUAACUUGGGCUCUCCCAAGCCCAUACCAAUUCGCGACUUUCGGUUCAAGUUCUUAACAUGCAAUUGAUUUUCAAUUAGGAGUCGCCACUAAUCUAUUUUUGGUGGGUCGAUUAGAAACCCAAGUAAAGUAAUGGGAAAUUUACUUUACUCCUACAAACCAGAGAUUAUGGGUACGGGGACUUGGUUACACUAGAUUUCUCUAAUGCCCUUUCGGUACCUUUAUCUUUUAUUUUGAAAAAAUUGUUUGGCAAGCGACUUGAAUUGAUUUUAAUUCAUUAACAUGUGAGGUGACCAUGCAGGUGCGCAAACCAUUAAUUUAACACUCAAGAAAGCAAAUGAAUAAGUUGCAGGACUUACCUCAUAGUAACGAAAGCAUUGCGUUAUUAGUUUAGAAUUCACAUUAGCAGUCCUAAAUAUGAUUUCUAAUUAACACGCAAUUUUUGUUUUGUUUUCACUUAAUUAAUGAAAAUCAUGCAAUAUGCAAUGCAUGCCACUAAUUUAACAUGAAAUGAUAUGACAUAGCAACAUAACUUAGCUAUAUGACCUAAGCAAUAUGACAUAACUAAGCAUGUGAUCUAUCCUAAGCAUGAGAUGAUUUAUUCUAAAUAAUUUUUUUGUAUUUUCUAUGAGAUUCGAAAUUAAAAAAAUGCAACACUUAAAUAUGCAAUCUAAAUUAAUCUAAUGACCUAAUUCUAAUGACGGGCAAUUUCUAAUUGAAUGCAUCUAACAAAAAUCACUAAAUGACGUGCAUUGUAUGAAACUAAUUCUAUAUGACGUGAACAUGACUUUUUUUGUGUUUUUUUUUUAAUUAAUUUCGAAACUAAAGUUUUCACAUGCAAUUCAAAUAAUUAUAAAAACUAACAUCCUAAAUGAAUGUGCUUUUUCUUUUGGAUUUUUUUAUUUAAAAAUAAAAUUCUUAUUUUAAAUAUAAAAGAUAAUAGCCAAACCUAAUCUUAAUUCAACAUUUUUUGGAUUUUCUUGUUUAAAACUCGAAAUAAGAUUGCAAUUUUAACCCUAAAACAGCAAAUCUAAUCCUAACUCAAAUAUUUUUUUGGAUUUUUCUUUUACGAAAAUAAAACUGACUCAACCAACAGCAAAUCAAACAAGAUAAGAUUGAUAUCUAAAAAUUGACGAACCAUAUUUCGCGCAUGAGAUCGGGUUGGCCAAUUUUAAAUUAAAUCGCAAAUCAAAUUUCGGGCUUGAGAUUGGAUUGUCGAUUUUUAUAAGGGAUUGCGAGUCGGAUUUCGGGCGCGAAAAUCGGACUGUCAAUCCCUAGCUUGAGGGACUAUUUCAUAUUGGAAUAUCAGUCACAUAUUUAAGGAACAAUUCCACUAAAAACAAGAUAUAGGAGAAAAUAAAUAAAUAAAUAAAAGGACUACCUAAUCUUUUUUUUUUUUUUCUGCUUUCUUCGCUCACGGCUUGCUCGUGCGGCUUAUCUCUGGGCAGUGGAUUCUGAUCGUUGGAGGGCGUCACAAUCGGAGCUCCGGGCUGGCGAGGGGAAUCGGCGGCAAGCAGACUGGCGGGUAGAGGCGUCACAGCUGGAGCUGGGCAGAGGAGCAGGCCCUGGGACGGUGAUGCGAGCGCGGUUGGUUGUCACUCGGGCGUGUGGGAGCUCGGACCUGAUCUUGGCGUCAUGGGUCGGCAGCAAGUCGGGCUCUGAACGGGUGCGGUUCGGUGGCGUCGGGUUGCGCGGAUCGGGAACAGCGGGGCUCCGGUGUCGUCGUUCGGGCAGAGCUGCAGGAGACAGUGGCUGGCGAUGUCGCGGGCGUCGGCGGUGAACUCGCGGGUGCAGAGACGCAGCGGCGUCAGUUGCUGCAGGGACGGAGUCGCGCUGGCUGAGGCGCGGCGAGUGCCGGGCAGUCUGAGACCCGGUUGUCGGACUGCUGGCGUCGGGUUCGCAGAUCACGGUGGUGCUCGUGCGGAGGUGCGGUGGGCUUCGGAACGAGGCGGAUCUGGUGCGGCGUCGGUGGGGCGAGGCGGCAGCGUUGCUGCUCGGAGACCGUCGGCGCAGGAACCGACGGUACAGGAGUCGGAUGCACAGAACUUCUGGAGAAGAUAAACAGUAGGUCUUUUCUCUGAUUUCACCUGUCACUCUCUCUCUCACGACAAUGCUCUCUCUGACUUUUCCUUUUCCCUGCAGUUUGUCAGGAAAAAAGAAAAGAGAAAAAGCCUUCUUUUCGCUGAAGAUGGACGAGGAAGAAAACCUUUCUCUCUCUUUUUACUUGAUUUUUUUUUACGAAGAGAAGCCACCUUUGGUCAUCGUACACGGUUGCUUUUAUAGGGGGUAAGAGAUAAGCUUUCAAUUUCCCUUUCAAAUCUACAUCCGCGAUACAUUUUCACCAACUGAUCACUAUUGAUAAAAAUUUAAGAUUACGAUAAAUAUUUUCUCGAAAUCCAAAUCUCGCAAAGAUAAAUCGCAAUAUUUUUUCACACAUGUGCUUUUAUCCAAAAUAUUCAUAUCCCGGAAAAAUUUCAAAAUUUUUAUUUUUCACGAGAUAAUUAAAAAACAUGGGCUUGAGCCAACCAGCUCGCUUUGUGGGCUUAGUCCAACUAAUUUGAACCCGUUCGCACUGGUCCAAUAAAUAAAAUGCCAAUAACAAAAUAAAUGGAAAUAUAAAUCUAUAUGCUAUGCAAUUAAUAAAAUUAACCCCUAAUUUCCUAUGUAAUAAAUAAAUAAACUAAAUCGUCAAAAUUUAGGUGUCAACAGACCUAACUUAAACUUUGACCCAACCCAGGCUCCAUUCUUAGCAAUUUUUCUCAUUAAAUUGUUAAUUUCAAGUAGACACAUCAAAUGUGUGGGUCGGGUUGGGUUGAAAAUGAUCCGACUCAUAUUGAUCCAUAUUUAUGUAGUGUAGAUCAUAUCCGAUCGACCCAUAUCUAAAUUGACUUGUAUUGCUAAAACCCAUUAAUAUUCCAGAAAAACACACACCCACUUUAAGCUCUAUGCUAAUUAGAUACAAAAUUCAAAUAAAAAAAUAAAAUAAAAUAAAAAUAUAAAAAACCUAUAAAUUGAAAUAUUUAUAAAAAUCUUAGGGUGGAUAAAUCCAUUUUGCAACUUGGAUUUAAUGAGCCCAAUUUCAUGUGGGUAAUUAUUUUAUUUUUAAAUGGUUUACAAAUGAUUUAAGAAAAAAUACUCAAAAAAAUAGAUUAUUAGUAACCAAUAAUUUAACCAAUUUUUAGAAACCAACACUCACUCACGAUACCACCGCUCUCAGUGGUGCAGCUGGCUUGAACUCUCUCCCUCUCACGAAGGGGAAUAGUUCGAAUCCUAGAAGCGUUGUUAGGGAUUUUUACUUGGAGUACUGUGGUGGUGGAUCCUGCAGUCGCUCCCCCAGGGUUUGCUCACCGGCUGCCAACUUACGGGGUUUCUUGGGUUACAAAAAAAAAAAAAAAACACCCACUCACGAUGUGGUCUAAUUCUACGAACAUUUUGGAGGUCUUCAGGGAUCAAAUUGAUGUUCAUAAGAUCCUAUGAAAGCUAUUGUAUGCGAGUGCAUGAGAUUAGGGGCAAGCAUAAAGAAAAAGACCUUGAAUUCAAACACAAUACAUUAGGGGUGUGCAACUGGACUGGGUAUAUUGGGUUCCCGGACCGGCCCACACGGAAAAUAGGGUCAAGAACCGGUUCCCAAAAUUCGGAACUGGUUUAAACUGGUCCGGGAACAGGUUCCGAAAGCCGGUUCUUGGACUAGUUUUAGAACCAGUUUCUGGAUCGGUUUUGUAAGUAGAAGUCUAAAACCCCCUUUUUUUUUUCCCGAUUUCUAUUCUUACUCUCGCAAUCACACGACAUUUUUCUUCUUGACUCUUUCAAACACGCACAUCACUCUUCCUUUGUCAUUCCUCUUCCUCACUUGCUUCCCUCCCUCACCGGCUCCCUCUUGCACCGUCCAAUGGACGGAUGGUGUUUGCCGCCGCCAAUUUUUUUGUAUCACAUGGAUUGACUCACAUAAUUUCUCUUUUGUAGGAGGGGUUAUACUUGCAUAAAUGAGUAGUUUCAUGUAGUAGUUGUGGGAAUAAGACUAAUAUUAGACCCAUGUUUGUUGUUAAUUCUUUGCCUUAUGAUUUUAUUUAUUAUGAUUAGCAUUGCGGAUUCUUAAUUUUUCAUUUAGUCAAAAAGUUAAUGUAUUUAUUUAUUAUAAGUGCUUAAUGUUUCAAUACAAAUUAGGAGGAUUACGUUAUUUUCUCGCGUAUUAAUAUAAAAUUCAAAGUUGUAUAGGAUAUCGGGAGAUUGCAAAACAGGUUCCAGUGGAAACAGUGUUGACCGUGGAAUUGGAUCUAAAAAACAGGGUAGGUUAGGUAUACGGUCCAAUACAAAUAGGGUCGGGCAUAGGGUCCGGAUCUAGAUCCUAUCCACCCUGGACCCGAUCACCCCUACAAUUCAUGAUAUACGAUGCAACUAGAAAGUAUAACAGUAAAAAUGGAUCUCCAAUAUUUGAUGUCAUAUCUGUAUAUUCCAUUUUAAUGAAAUCUUGAACUUCUAAAACUAAAGCACAAUACAAAGCAGAAGAAAUCUAGAUUGGGGAGAAGCUACUUGCUCUGCUAUGCGAAAAGCAGAACACCGACAAUUACAAAGCUUUAACAUCGUAGGCGUUCGGCAGCAAAAUAGGAAAUCAAUCAAGACACGUUUCGGUUAUGUGCAUCAAAUCAAGUAAAACACAAAAACUCAAAACCCACAUUGGGUGCAAAACAGCACAAAAGUCCACUGAACAAGAAACCAAUGGAUUACCUCGAGAAAUUACCUAAGCUUCAAAUAGUGAAUGACACGCGGGGAGAGAAUAUUAGGGUUCGUAAGCAAGAGCUGGAAGGCCCGGAACCGCACUAGAGCUCGACAUUGGAUCAACAAGACUACAAGAACCGCGAACUAACGAAAUUCAGGGAGAUGACGACAACAGCAGGAUGAUGGAUGAGGGUCGAUCACACGCUCGUAGAGUCAGCUUUGACUACGCUGUUGAGGCAAAUAUCGAUGCCCACGAGCUAGAUUUUCAUGGAGUGAGGCCAAAGCUCAUCGACCUUUUGGGGAGCAGCAGAGGCGGCUCGGAGGCUAGUCACGGAGGCGGCUUGGAGGCAAGUGGCGGAGGCGAGCGGCAGAGGUGAGCGAAGGAGGCAAGUAGUUGAGGCAGGCAAGUAUAUGAGGAAACUUUGUGUUUUAGCCUUUUAGGUUACCUAUUUGAAUAACUUAAUGUCGAAAAUGCGUCAAAAAUGAGUAAGACGUUCCGACCCAUUUUCCACUGAUAUAAAUUCAGCUUAAAAUUUAAUGGACCCAUUUUAAGUGGGCAUCUAUAUUUCUAUAAUCCAAAUACAAUCCAUUAACACAAACUAUGAGUUGGAAAGUGAAUUUUAGACCAUUUUAUCACUCCUGCUUUGAAGAAUGAAUGACUCCGUGGACCAACUUAUCGAGUCAAUGGGGGUGCUCAAGCAUCAAGUUAUGGAUGAAAGCAUGAAAAUGUCGAUGAGACAAAGGCUAUUUCACAUUUAAUAAGACCUCUCUUGAUACUGUAAUGUCUCAUUGUAUUACUUUUAAGACAUUGCGGUUUUAGAUCAGGCGUUAUCAAAUUCAUGCACAAGACCACAAGACGAUGAUUCUAACAAAAUUAACUACAAAGGCGUCCAGUUACAGCUUUCAUUAAAUUUUCAGCAUGUCAUGCUGAAUUUGAAUGAAUUAUGCAAAGUAAUUUAGUCGUAGAUCUAAUGAAAACCUCUCUCGCUGCUUUCAACUUAAGCCCGUACCAUACCAACUACCGACCGUAGCAGUUCGACAAUGGAGGGUGAUGCCCUUCCAGAAAAUCGACGGUACCUUCCAAAGUAUAUUCCACAAGGCUCGUAGAACACGUUCACAAAUUUUCCUGCGUUUCCAUUAGUCAGGAUUUUGACAAGACCAUUGUAGUUAACGAGAUUUUUGUACUGCAAGCGAAGGUGGCGGGCAAGUAUAUGAGGAAACUUUAUGUUUUAGCUUUUUAUGUUACCUAUUCGGGUAACUUAAUGUCGAAAAUGCAUCAAAAAUGAGUCAGACGUUCCGACCCAUUUUUCACCAAUAUAAAUUCAGCUUAAAAUUUAAUGGACCCAUUUUAACUGGCUCUCUAUAUUUAUAUAAUCCACAUACAAUCCAUUAACACAAAUUAUGAGUCGGAAAGUGAAUUUUAGACCAUUUUACCACUCCUGCUUUGAAGAAUGAAUGACUUCGUGGACCAAACAUAUGAGUCAAUGGGGUGCUCAAGCAUCAAGUUAUGGAUGAAAGCAUGAAAAUGUCGAUAAGGCAAAGGGGCUAUUUAUCAUUUAAUAAGGCAUCUCUCGAUACUGUAAUGUCUCAUUGUAUUACUUUAGGACAUUAUAGUUUUCUAACAAAAUUAACUACAAAGGUGUCCAGUUACAGCUUUCGUUGAAUUUUCAGCAUGUCGCCUGUACUGUACCAACUACCGACCGUAGCAGUUCGACAAUGGAGGGUGAUGCCCUUCCAGAAAAUCGAUAGUACCUUCCAAAGUAUAUUCCACAACGCCCGUAGAACACGUUCACAGAUUUUCCUGUGUUUCCAUUAGUCAGGAUUUUGACAAGACCAUUGUAGUUAACGAGAUUUUUGUACUGCAAAAAGAACAGUAGCGUGUGAUAAGAUUGACAGAAACAAAUAAAGCAAAUUCCGUGCUGAUCGAUCAAGUACCAUCUCGAAAGAUGCCUUAUGAACCUUCAAAUGUUGGCAAUGGAUCACCCGUGGUGCGGUAAGCCCCAGCCGACGACUGUCAUUCAAAUUGGCAAACCCAUCAAGUAGUGAACAUAGCGCUGCUCGACGGUUUCCGCACAAGCUGAUGUCAUCAUUAAUUUGCAGAAGUGAAAGCUUACACCAUAAAGACUUGUCCAAAGGUUUUCGCUAUCGAAACAAUUUACAUACCUUCACUUGCAAGUAGCUUAAUGUCGUUUCACAACCAAAAAGAAGUCCGCUAGGAGGGCCAUCAUGCGAUUCAUCUAAAAAAUGGAUGCACUACCUCUUUUUCAAUUGUAGCUACUUGUCCACAGAAGAAGCUAAUAUUCAUACAAUCUACAAAUUGAAAAGAAAAGGGGAAACUAAUGGAGAAAAAUAACCAAAAAGGCACAGAAUUACUGAGGAUUGACAUACUUUAUGCACAAGGGCCGCAUCCAGAUUGCCCUAUAUUACAAGUAGACUUCCUCGAGACUCACAUAGGAGUCUCCUUUCGCAGUUUCAACUCUUCCUUCCCAUAAAUUCUCUGAAGCUCACGAGUUGCAGCUCGGUAAGAUUCUGGAAAACAGAAUAAUGAACUUAUCGGAAGGUACAAUUCGCCAAAACAACAAAAAUUCUUCAACUUGACAUAAAAACUCGUGGUGUCUUAAUGAGAAGUUUCCAUGGUAAAGUAUGGCAAAACUACCCAAUUCUUAAAAAAAGUCGAGAAAAAGCAAACUUGUAGUUAUUGAAUAGAGUGCCUCCAUCCUGAGAUUGUCAGGAAAGAUAAGGAGAAUAUUAUACAAGCGAGGGGGGAUACUCAUCUCAUCCAGGUAAAAGGUCGAACGUUAAUCUAUAAAAUUCAUCUGCUUAUCCACAUUACCAAUUCCAGAAUUUCUACAACAUAUCUCUAUGACCUGAACGGAAGCAAUAAUUUUCUCGACUUUACACCUGAUCAGUCCCAAAAAAUUAUCGUUCUGCUAGGCAAAAAACGGAUCGUUACAUAACACAUAGUGUGACAUCCCGAUUUUCCGAUUCUAUUUUCAAUAAAUUGGGACGGGCAUUUCGUUGGCACGCAUAUAGUUCUUUUCCUUGAGCCGGCCACUCAUGUGAAAACUAGUCUAUCGGGUAAAGCUGUUAAGAGUUUCUAAUGCAUCAGACUCGAGAAUUUGGCCAGGAAGCGACCUUUCGACCGAGCUAAUCUGCAAGGGUCAUUACGACACAAAUAAAAAUCGAUUAGAGACCGGAGAUAGGUCGACUUGACAGAGGAAUGUGAUCGAGUGUGGGUGAUUCCACCGGAUCGCACAAUUCUUGUCGAUCGGCACUGGACCGACUUUUCUAUCGAUUGGGUACCCUGUGUUCGUAUUUGAAACCUUGAGAUUACCCCGACAACCGAAAGUCGCCAAUGUUUCAAAGAUGUACAUUGUGGCUUGAGAUGAUCAACCACAGGUCAAAUGCGUGAAAAUUUCUAAAGGCUACCCGGUAGGUUGGGCCGCGCUAGUAUCGUGCCAAAGUGAAAUUAACCGUGGAAUUGAGAUCGAAUUCAGAAAUUGGAAGUCUGGGUGUGUCACAAAUCAUUUUAGGAUCAUUGACUUAUCUUUGGAAGAUUUUUCAUGCAAUUAGAGUUCUUUGACAAAUUAAAUCCAAGAAUGGCUAUUUUAGCUCGAGAAAUUAGUAGGCCGCAUUUGGUUGCGCUUUUGGGACUUAAGUUGGUUCUAUGGACAAGUGAGUAUGUGAAUUGAAGUGUGGUGACAUUGGAUUAAUUUUAUGGACUUCAAUUUGGACUCAAUUGGAAGUGGAUUGAUUAUAAUUGAAGAAUUUCAUGCACAAGAAUUGGACCCCGGCGGAAAAAUAAAAUGGACCCAUUGGAAGAUGUCGUGGAGGAUUGGGUGAGUGGAUUAUGAGGUCAUCCUAGGUCAUGGUGGGCCACCUUGAUUGGAUGAGGGAAAAAGAGAAAAAGAAAAGGGAAAAGAAAAUGAAAUGGCUCCCCUUCUCUCUCCUUCCUUCUCUCUCCCGUUGCCUCUCUUCUCCACUUCCAUGGUGCGAAGACCAGAAAAAUGCAGAGAAGAAGAAGCUGCAGCCAUGGCCGGCCACCCGCUCGCACAUCGUCGUCGCCACCGCCGCCGUGCGUCCGUCCCGCGCCGCCCGCGCGCACUCGCCGGCCUGCCGUCGCACCGUCUCCGCUCCGCCUCAGCCCGCGUCCCCAGCAGAUCUGAGGAGGCGUCGAAGCUGGAGCAGCCAUGGCCGUCCCUCCGCUCGCUCGCCGUCGCAGCCCCGCGAGCUGCUCCGCCCGGCCGUCCUCGUCGUCCCUGCUGUUCCGCGAGUCCAGCAGCGAUUCCAGAUCUGGGGAAGCUCAGCCGGAGCCGUCCAGCUCACCUCCGGCCACCGUGAGGCCCCGCCGUUGGCCGUGCGGCACCGCCGCAGCUCCUCCGCCCGUUUUCGACCCAAGCCGGCGCCGGAUCUGCCCUCUCUCAGCCUCAAACCGCCAUGGACAGCAGCUGCAGAAAAUGGGUAUGGCAGCCCCUUCUUGGCCCGUUUCGGCCGCCUUCCCGAGUCCGGAUGCUCGGCCCGCUUUGAGGAAAGUCGAUCCUCGCGUCGUCCUCGUCGUUUUGGUUCGCUCGGCUCGCUAAUCCGCUAAUCCGGUGAGUUUAACUCACUAAACCUCGCUUAGAGGGUUAAUGAUGCUUUAGGUGUGUUUAGUUUAUGUUAAGUGUUAUUAGGUGGUUAGUUUAAUUUAUUUAAGUGUAGAUUAUAUUAAUGUGCUUGAUUAACUUAAAUUGUGUUUAAUUUAAGGUUAAGUGAGUGUUUAUAUUAGUAUAAACCUUGAUGUGACAAAAAGGAAUUUACUUUUGAUUUAUUUAAAUAUCUCGAAAUUAUUGAAUAAUUAAAUAAUAUUUUAAUAUUCGAAAUUAUUAAAAUAUUAUUAUUUAAUUAUUUUUGGGAAUAAAUUUAAUUAUUUAUUAAAUUCCGAAAAUUUUGUCGAGACCUUAAAUUCUCAGAAUUUCGUGCCGGUCGUUGCGGUGUAGUCGGAUUUUGAAAUUGAUGAUUGGAUGUUAUAAAUUGAGCGUGGAAAGUGAAAUAUAUGGAUAUUAUUAUUUAAUUAUUUUUGGGAAUAAAUUUAACUAUUUAUUAAAUUCCGAAAAUUUUCACUGGGACCUUAUUUGCUCAGAAUUCCGUGCCGAUCGUUGCUGUGCAUUUAGAAUUUGAGAUUGAUGAUUGGUUGUGAUGAAUUGAGUGUGAUUGUGAUUUAUAGGGAUUCUUUAUGAAAUCCUAAGUGUAGAAACUGAUGGGAGAUUGGCUGUGAAAUACCACCUAUUAGAGGUCGUGCCCGAUGAGGCCGUUAUAUGCCACCUGAUAAAGGUCGCGCCCGAUGGGGCCGUUAUAUGCCACCUAUUAGAGGUCGCGCCCGAUGGGGCCGUGAUAUGCCACCUGUUAAAGGUCGCGCCGAGUGGGGCCGUGAUGCCACUGAUUCUAAUUUUGCCGAGUAUGCUUUGACUGUGUGAUAACUAAGAGGAAUCGUCCUGGGCUGCUGAGCCGGACUUGCCCCUAUAUGGGUUGCCCACGCGGUGGAUGCCGAUCGCAGUAGAGGCUGGGCCGACUGGAUCGAUGCUCCUUCGGGAAUGCCGUCGACGUAGUGACGAAGCCGUGCUCCAAGGGGGGAGACGAUGCUCCUUCGGGAAUGCCGUCGACGUACUGACGAAGCCGCGCUCCAUGGGGGGAGGCGAUGCCUGGCAUUAGUGUCAGUAGAUAGCCGAACUGCGAGUAGGCUAUGCCCUUGUGUGGCAGUGAAUAACAAUUGGAAUGCAUGUUGAGUGUUGUUGAUGUGUCGGAUUAUGGGACGGAAUUGUGUGGCAUGGAAUGGGACGUGUCAUAACGAUUUAGUCUUAUAAUCAGGACCCCCGCGGUUGUUGGAUAUAUGAAAGUGAAUACGUUCCGAUUGUUUAAGUUCCUCUUACUAUCUGUGAUUGAGUGAUUUGAAUUGCGCUAACCUGCAGGAAGGAACUGAGGCGAGGUAAGUCUUCUGUGUGAUGUGGCUAGGCCACCUUUGGGCGUAUUUUCUUUCUAAUAGGGGUUUAGGGGGUUGAACUUGCUGAGACGUUGUCUUAGUGGUUAUUGAAUAACCAUUUCAGGUCCCUGGUGGACGGAGCGGCCGGAUAGCUUUGGUUGGCCUUGAGGAGUUGCAGAAGUGAAGUCAUAAGAUUGGAGAACGUGUCCGACCUGUAGGUCGUAGGACAAUUCAUUUUUAAGAGCCGGCCUUUUGUAGACUUUUGGCCGUAGACCUCUGUUUGUAAUUCUGAUGAAUUAUGGAAGCGUUAUGUUGUGGUUUUGAUUCCUGCUUUUCUAUCCCGUAGUUUAUUGUCAGGGGAUUUGUUUCGCUUCCGCAUGCGUAAUAAAAUAAAUGGGUCGGCGACAUAUCCUGGGAUGUCGCAUUUUUGGUCGACCGUAGUGGGAUGUGCGCGCGCUCGGGGUUCGGGGCGUGACACAUAGUAUAGGAGACGUAAGGAAGAAAGGAGUUGUUCCACAAUUUCUGACAUGAAAAUAACAUGCAAAUCCUCAUAUAUAAUACGUAGGGUUGAAGGACAUUUUGCAGUAAUAAAUAUAGAUCAAAGGAUUCCUUUUUUUUUUUUGGGGUCAGAAUCAAAGGAUUCCUUGAACAUGUGUCAGGAGGUGAUUUUAUUAUUUCUUGACCUUGUUCGUAAAUGCUCUCCAUAUAUAAGUAAAACUCCUGAUUUCUUGAAUGAUUAACGAUUAGAGAUAUCUAGCAGAUGCACAAUCACCUUUUAGUCUGAGUUCGAGAUGCACGGAUUUAUUUGCACAUCCACAUUAUCAAUACGCACACAAAUUCUUGGAUUCAUGUGUGAGUGUGCAUGCGUGUGCGUGUGCAUGCGUGUGUGGUGGGUUGGAGAGAGAGAGAUGAAUGAUCUUUCUCCAAUAGAUUGCAUAUAAUACUGAGAAAGAUAUCUAUUUUACCUUUCCAAAUGCGAAAAGAUUUCUGAUUAAUUGGUGCACCAAACACAGUCUGAAUUGUAUCAAACAGCAAGCUCUUAGGAGUGCUCCGUAGUUCUUGAACUAUUUGAUAGAUGGUCUUCCCAUUCUCAAAGUAUAUAAUGAUUGUUUGGAUGCUUUGUCUUGCAACCGGCAUGUCGCUCGAAUUCAUACGCAUUAAGCACCUUGGGUACCACCUUUUCUUCACAUCCAUCGUCACGCUCGCGUAGAGGAAAACCGGUAUGCGAUGGCCCUCAUCGUCGUGCGUCUCCUUGAGCUGGCGACACGGUCACGCUCUCGUGAUGUUCUGCGAUUCGUCGAAGGAAGCGGUCGAAGAAGCUCAGCUUGUCCCACAUCGCAAACACUCGCGGAUUAGAAAGAGUUAAUAAGCCCCGCGCACGUGAGAGAAAAUCGCCGAGCUCAGUAGCGAGAGCUUGUGACCCGAGCGGGGGCAUCAAGGUGGUGGGACAUGGGCUCGAAUCCUUUGGGCCGGGUCUGCAGAGGCUUCUUUCUGGCCCGCCCGUUCCAAGCCGAGAGCUGAUUCAUGUGGUUCGGGCGAAGGCUCGGGCCACGCGUGUCCUAAAGUGGAGGGCACCACGUGAGGCUGGUUUCACAGAGCAGCGGAAACCUCCCGCUCCCGGCAGUGGAAGGAUAACGGGCCGGUGCCGAUCAGAACCCACCAUGGCCCAAUGGGCCGAGUCCUACUGGACCACCACCUUUUUUCUUUUUCGGCCUUUUGGACUUAUUCUCUGAAUCUUCUUCUUUAAGUUGCAUAACUCGAAUUUUAUAUUUAAAUUGCCUUUGUAAAUCUAGGUUCUUCGUUCAACAUGAUUUUUUAUGAAAAAAAAUUAUUUAAAUCAAAACUGAUUCGAUUUGUAUGACAUCGGCGUAUUAUAUAGAGAGGUGUAAGCUAAAUUUUAAAAAAAUGACCUUACCUUUACAUGAACACGUGGCGACGAUCGGUUCUUUUCCAUGAUGCCAUCUACUAGUAUAGCUAAUGAAGACUCAACUGAACUAUUGUUGAUAGAAUUGAAUCCGUGAUUUUAUUCAUGAUGGGAUUUGUUGUGUACAUUACACAAUGAGAAUGAAGUAUAUAGUCAAUGCAAAUUUCAAUGGGACCUUUUGUAUAGCUUCUAGAUCGCUCAUUAUAAUUCAAAGCCGAAAAUCCAUGGUGCAACCCUUUUCAUAAAUGACGUUUUCAUGAAACGUGAUUAAAUAAUAAACUUAUCAAAUGGGUGGGUUUGGUUGAAAAUAAUUCGAUUCAAAUUGACCUAUUUAUUAGUAAUACAAUUGCAGAGACUUGAAAUCAACCCAACUUAAACUUGACCCAACCCAAGCUCCAUUCUUAGCAAUUUUUUUCAUUAAAUUGUUACUUUGAAGUAGACACAUCAAAUGUAUGGGUCGGGUUGAAAAUGAUCCAACUCCUAUUGAUCCAAUUUCAUGUAGUGUAGAUUUAGUGAUCCAUACUCGACCCGAUCAAUAUCCAAACUGACUCGUAUUGCUAAAAUCCAUUAAUAUUCUAGAAAAACACACACCCACUUUAAGCUCUAGAUAAAAACUUCAAAUAAAAAUAAAUAAAUAAAUAAAUAAAUAAAUAAAUAAAUAAAUAAAUAAUAGCAAACAAAUAAAAAAUAUAUAAAAAACCUAUAAAUUGAAAUAAAUGUUAAGCUCAAAUGUGUGGGUCAAGUCAGGUUGAAAAUGAUCCAACUUAUAUUGGCGCAUAUUCAUGUAGUGUAGAUUUAGUGAUCCAUACUCGAUCCGACCAGUACUCAAACUGACUCAUAUUGCUAAAAUUCAUUAAUAUUCUAGAAAAACACACACCAACUUUAAGCUCUAUGUUAAUUAGAUAAAAACUUCAAAUAAAAAAAAUAAUAGCAAAAAAAUAAAAAAAUAAAAAAAUAUAAAAAACCUAUAAAUUGAAAUAUUUAUAAAGAAUCUGACCAACAAAAUAUAUAUAUUUAUAAAAACCUUAGGGUGGAUAAAUCCAAUUUGAAACUUGGAUUUAAUGAGCCCAAUUUCAUGUGGGUAGUUAUUUUAUUUUUAAAUGGUUUACAAAUGAGUUAAGAAAAAAAAAAACUCAAAAAAAUAGAUUAUUAGUAACCAAUAAUUUAACCCAUUUUUAGAAACCAACGCCCGCUCACGAUGUGGUCUAAUUCUACGAACAUUUUGGAGGUCUUCAGGGAUCAAAUUGAUGUUCAUUCUUUACCAAAAAAAAAAAAAGUUGAUGUUCAUAAGAUCCUAUGAAAGCUAUUGUAUGCAAGUGCAUGAGAUUAGGGGCAAGCGCAAAGAAAAAGACCUUGGAUUCAAACAGAAUACAUGUGGAAUUAGAAUAAUACAUGAUAUACGAUGCGACUAGAAAGUAUAACAGUAAAAAUGGAUCUCCUAUAUUUGAUGUCAUAUCUUUAUAUUCCAUUUUAAUGAAAUCUUGAACUUCUAAAACUAAGCACAAUACAAAGCAGAAGAAAUCUAGAUUGGGGAGAAGCUACUUGCUCUGCUAUGCGAAAAGCAGAACACCAACAAUUACAAAGCUUUAACAUCGUAGGCGUUCGGCAGCAAAAUAGGAAAUCAAUCAAGACAGGUUUCACUUAUGUGCAUCAAAUCAAGUAAAACACAAAAAAUCGAAACCCACAUUGGGUGCAAAACAGCACAAAAGUCCACUGAACAAGAAACCGAUGGAUUACCUAAGCUUCAAAGAGUGAAUGACACGCGGGGAGAGAAUAUUAGGGUUCGUAAGCAAGAGCUGGAAGGCCCGGAAUCGCACUAGAGCUCGACAUUGGAUCAACAAGACUCUACAAGAACCGCGAACUAACGAAAUUCAGGGAGAUGACGACGACAACGGGAUGAUGGAUAAGGGUCGAUCACACGCUCGUAGAGUCAGCUUUGACUAAGCUGUUGAGGCAAACAUCGAUGCCCAGGAGCUAGACUUUCACGGAGUGAGGCCAAAGCUCAUCGACCUUUCGGGGAGCAGCAGAGGCGGCUCGGAGGCUAGUCGCGGAGGCAGUUUGGAGGCAAGUGGCGGAGGCAAGCGGCAAAGGCGAGUGAAGGAGGCAAGCAGUCGAGGCAGGCAAGUAUAUGAGGAAACUUUGCAUUUUAGCCUUUUAGGUUACCUAUUUGGGCAACUUAAUGUCGAAAAUGCGUUUAAAAUGAGUCAAACGUUCCGACCCAUUUUCUACCAAUAUAAAUUCAGCUUAAAAUUUAUUGGAUCCAUCUUAAUUACCCUUUUUACUGGGCCUCUAUAUUUUUAUAAUCCACGUACAAUCUAUUGACAUAAAAUAUGAGUCGGAAAGUCGAUUUUACACUCAUUUUAUUAAUCCUACUCUGAAAAAUGAAUGACUCCGUGGACCAACUUAUUGAGUCAAUGGGGUGCUCAGGCAUGUCAUGUGAAUAGAAUCUUUUUCGGGCCUUUACCUGAACCAAACGGGAACCCACGCCGUUGGCUACGAUCUGAUUGUGCAGGCAACAUUGAAAGCAAUCAAAUACCUGAAAACUCUCCCCGCCCCCCCAGUUCAUCAUGAAACGCACUCAUCCGUUUCCUACGCAUAACGAGUUGGAACACGAGAACGGAACCGAGUUAUAGAUAUAAGACCAAAAUCAAAAUGAGAGCGUAAAAGUCCACAGGAUGGGUGGCGUCUCCAGUCCAGAAUUAGACCUUGAAUAGCUGCUGCUGCUGCUCUCCUCCAAUAUAUACCACAGAGCUUCUUUGCUCAAAGCUUUUUCACUAGACAAAUUCUCACCCCGGCACCACCUUGUUUUCACAUCCAUCAUCACGCUCGCGUAGAGGAAAACCCGUAUGCGAUGGCCCUCAUCGUCGUGCAUCUCCUUGAGCUGGCGACACGGUCAAUCUCUCGUGAUGUUCUGCGCUUCGUCGAAGGAAGAAGCUCAGCUUGUCCCACAUCGCAAACAGCCGCGGAUUAAAAAGAGUUAAUAAGCCUCGCCCGCGUGAGAGGAGAUCGCCGAGCUCAGUAGCGAGAGCUUGUAACCCGAGCGGGGGCACUAAGGUGGUGGGACGUAAGCUCGAAUCCUUUGGGCUGGGUCUGCAGAGGCUUCUUUCUGGCCCGCCCGUUCCAAGCCGAGAGCUGAUUCAUGUGGUUCGGGCGAAUGCCCGGGCCACGUGUGUCCUAAAGCGGAGGGCACCACGUGAGGCUGGUUUCACAGAGCAGCGAAAACCUCCCGCUCCCGGCAGUGGAAGGAUAACGGGCCGGUGCCGAUCAGCACCCGCUGUGGUCCAACGGGCCGAGUCCUACUGGACCACCACCUUUUUCUUUUUCGGCUUUUUGGACUUAUUCUCAGAAUCUUCUUUAAGUUGCAUGACUCGAAUUUUAUAUUUAAAUUGCCUUUGUAAAUCUAGCUUCUUUGUUCAACAUGAUUUUUUAUAAAUAUAUAUAGAAUCUAUGAUUU